UUGGAGGGCAAGUCUGGUGCCAGCAGCCGCGGUAAUUCCAGCUCCAAUAGCGUAUAUUAAAGUUGUUGCAGUUAAAAAGCUCGUAGUUGAAUUUCGGGAUCAAUGUUUCGGUCAUGCCGUUGGUAUGUACUGAUAUUAUUGAUUUCUCACCUUCUAAAGAACCGUAAUGCCAUUAAUUUGGUGUCACGGGGAAUUAGGACUGUUACCUUGAAAAAAUUAGAGUGUUUAAAGCAGGCUCACGCUUGAAUACAUUAGCAUGGAAUAAUGAAAUAGGACAUCCGAUUCUAUUUUGUUGGUUUCUAGGAUCGAUGUAAUGAUUAAUAGGGAUAGUUGGGGGCAUUAGUAUUCAAUUGUCAGAGGUGAGAUUCUUGGAUUUAUUGAAGACUAACUACUGCGAAAGCAUUUGCCAAGGAUGUUUUCAUUAAUCAAGAACGAAAGUUAGGGGAUCGAAGACGAUCAGAUACCGUCGUAGUCUUAACCAUAAACUAUGCCGACUAGGGAUCGGAUGAUGUUAAUUUUUAAUGACCCAUUCGGCGCCUUACGGGAAACCAAAGUGUUUGGGUUC
RNAcentral lists this ribosomal RNA (565 nucleotides) under uncultured Glomeromycotina. RNAcentral describes it as "SSU rRNA". It matches the Rfam family "Eukaryotic small subunit ribosomal RNA", at positions 548 to 1114 of the family's 1831-position model. Lineage: Eukaryota; Fungi; Glomeromycota. The record is from RNAcentral.